This 364-nucleotide ribosomal RNA is filed under the name uncultured bacterium. RNAcentral describes it as "partial 16S ribosomal RNA". It matches the Rfam family "Bacterial small subunit ribosomal RNA", at positions 338 to 701 of the family's 1533-position model. The record is from RNAcentral.
CCUACGGGGGGCAGCAGUGGGGAAUAUUGCACAAUGGGGGAAACCCUGAUGCAGCGACGCCGCGUGAGUGAAGAAGGAUUUCGGUAGGUAAAGCUCUAGCAGCAGGGAAGAAAGACUGACCUUACGGUCAGCAGACGGUACCUGACGAAGAAGCCCCGGCUCACGACGUGCCAGCCGCCGCGGUAAGACGUAGGGGGCAAGCGUUAUCCGGAUUUACUGGGGGUAAAGGGAGCGUAGACGGCCGCGCAAGUCUGAAGUGAAAUCCCAUGGCGUAACCCUGGAACUGCUUUGGAAACUGUGCAGCUGGAGUGCAGGAGAGGUAAGCGGAAUUCCUAGUGUAGCGGUGAACUGCGUAGAUAUCAGG